Molecule: long non-coding RNA, 499 nt
Organism: Oenanthe melanoleuca
Lineage: Eukaryota; Metazoa; Chordata; Aves; Passeriformes; Muscicapidae
Exons: 3
Source: RefSeq, a predicted model, not a curated record
AAACAGCCCAGGAGGUCCUGCACCCAGCAGCAGUUCUCAAAGCCCAUGGAUGUCACCAGCCAGUGGGGAAGGAGAGUCUGUGCCUGCAGGUUGGCUUUGGCUGUGGCACAUCCAGUGCCUGAAGCAUCUUUCAUGGCACUCAGAGGAGACCAUGCUACUGCUGUUCCUGUUUAGGAGGAAUUUGGUUUUGCCUGGGCAGGAUUUAGCUGCAUUUGCAGCAAGGCAGGACUUGGCCUUCCCUCCACACAAUAUUCCCAGAGUUUUGCUGCCAUGCCAAGAUCUUUCCAGAAAUCCAGAGUCCCCUGCCUGCCAGCUGGGAUCAGCAUGGCACAUUCCAGAAGAGGAGCCUGACCAAGCAAAACGCACAUAUUAAACAGAUACUUAACAUUUCGUCGCACAAAGGCGCGGGAAUCGGGACAGCCACGGCGUCAGGGAUGGGCUACCCAACGUGGGCUACUCGAGACCCGCACGGCAGCCUGGCAAAGGACACUUUUCCCCG